GAGUAUAAACACAAUUAAUGCCUACUUUGUAUUUUUCUUCAUUAGUUUAUUUUGUUUUAUGUAUUUUGUAUUUUUGUUUUGUUUUAAAAGACGGAGUACAGGAACUCUUGGAUGUAUGGUAGGUUAAGGAAUGAUGAAGGUUUUCACGAUGAGGUGGAUAAAUUUAUUGAAGCCGCAGAGAAGCAUGCAUUAAUAGACUUUGCGAUGAAUUAGACAUGUAAUUUGUGGUUUAUAUUGUUCUUGUGUGGUUGUGGAUGAAUAUAUAUAUAUAUAUAUAUAUAUAUAUAUAUAUAUAUAUAUAUAUAUAUAUAUAUAUAUAUAUAUAUAUAUGGUGGUCAGAUUUGAAUUAUAUAUUACGUGCUCUAGUCAUAUUUGAAUUCAGAUUUGAAUUUUUUUUACUGAAAAACAGGCUGU
This 414-nucleotide long non-coding RNA is filed under the name Sorghum bicolor (sorghum). RNAcentral's name for it is "long non-coding RNA (SBIC_LNC017015)". The record is from RNAcentral. Lineage: Eukaryota; Viridiplantae; Streptophyta; Magnoliopsida; Poales; Poaceae.